RNAcentral lists this long non-coding RNA (215 nucleotides) under Lathyrus oleraceus (garden pea). RNAcentral describes it as "Pisum sativum (pea) long non-coding RNA (PSAT_LNC035858)". Lineage: Eukaryota; Viridiplantae; Streptophyta; Magnoliopsida; Fabales; Fabaceae. The record is from RNAcentral.
GAACAUUGAUGUUCAAAUACCAUGCUGUUGCUUGCUGUUGUUUUUGAUGAACAUGAUGAUGAUGAAUAUGCCAAUGCUGCUGUUUCGAAACUUACCAUGUCCAGAAUUUUUCUCAUGAUUUUGUUGGUUUGAUUGUUAGUUAAUAUUGCAUGAUGAGGACGUUUCAUGGCCCUGAUUAUUGAAUGUUGCUGUGUUCAUGUGCUGUUGAUUUAAAU